Oncorhynchus keta (chum salmon) is the source of this 487-nucleotide long non-coding RNA. RefSeq lists it as uncharacterized. The record is from RefSeq and is a predicted model, not a curated record. NCBI's taxonomy places the organism in Eukaryota, Metazoa, Chordata, Actinopteri, Salmoniformes, Salmonidae. The transcript is spliced from 4 exons.
CUCUAGGUCAUGAAUAUCUCAGCCAGUCUCCUUAGCCUACUCCUCUAGGUCAUGAAUAUCUCAGCCAGUCUCCUUAGCCUACUCCUCUAGGUCAUGAAUAUCUCAGCCAGUCUCCUUAGCCUACUCCUCUAGGUCAUGAAUAUCUCAGCCAGUCUCCUUAGCCUACUCCUCUAGGUCAUGAAUAUCUCAGCCAGUCUCCUUAGCCUACUCCUCUAGGUCAUGAAUAUCUCAGCCAGUCUCCUUAGCCUACUCCUCUAGGUCAUGAAUAUCUCAGCCAGUCUCCUUAGCCUACUCCUCUAGGUCAUGAAUAUCUCAGCCAGUCUCCUUAGCCUACUCCUCUAGGUCAUGAAUAUCUCAGCCAGUCUCCUUAGCCUACUCCUCUAGGUCAUGAAUAUCUCAGCCAGUCUCCUUAGCCUACUCCUCUAGGUCAUGAAUAUCUCAGCCAGUCUCCUUAGCCUACUCCUCUAGGUCAUGAAUAUCUCAGCCA